GCUCUGAUAGCUUACAAACCUAAAAGCAUUGUUCUUGUAAACCAAAGCCGGGGAACCCCUCAGAGCAACA
RNAcentral lists this transfer RNA (70 nucleotides) under Protobothrops mangshanensis. Its description in RNAcentral is "tRNA-Thr". The record is from RNAcentral. Lineage: Eukaryota; Metazoa; Chordata; Lepidosauria; Squamata; Viperidae.